GAUGAACGCUGGCGGCGUGCCUAAUACAUGCAAGUCGAGCGAACAGACGAGGAGCUUGCUCCUUCGACGUUAGCGGCGGACGGGUGAGUAACACGUAGGUAACCUACCUAUAAGACUGGGAUAACUUCGGGAAACCGGAGCUAAUACCGGAUAAUAUUUCGAACCGCAUGGUUCGAUAGUGAAAGAUGGCUUUGCUAUCACUUAUAGAUGGACCUGCGCCGUAUUAGCUAGUUGGUAAGGUAACGGCUUACCAAGGCAACGAUACGUAGCCGACCUGAGAGGGUGAUCGGCCACACUGGAACUGAGACACGGUCCAGACUCCUACGGGAGGCAGCAGUAGGCAAUCUUCCGCAAUGGGCGAAAGCCUGACGGAGCAACGCCGCGUGAGUGAUGAAGGUCUUCGGAUCGUAAAACUCUGUUAUUAGGGAAGAACAAACGUGUAAGUAACUGUGCACGUCUUGACGGUACCUAAUCAGAAAGCCACGGCUAACUACGUG
Molecule: ribosomal RNA, 497 nt
Filed under: uncultured bacterium
Lineage: Bacteria
Description: partial 16S ribosomal RNA
Rfam family: Bacterial small subunit ribosomal RNA
Source: RNAcentral